RNAcentral lists this ribosomal RNA (377 nucleotides) under uncultured bacterium. RNAcentral describes it as "bacterial SSU rRNA". It matches the Rfam family "Bacterial small subunit ribosomal RNA", at positions 521 to 896 of the family's 1533-position model. The record is from RNAcentral.
UAAUACGUAGGUCGCAAGCGUUGUCCGGAUUUACUGGGCGUAAAGAGCGCGCAGGCGGCUGGUCAAGUCCGAUGUGAAAUCUCCCGGCUCAACUGGGAAACUGCAUCGGAAACUGAUCGGCUUGAAGGUGGGAGAGGGUAGUGGAAUUCCCGGUGUAGUGGUGAAAUGCGUAGAUAUCGGGAGGAACACCAGUGGCGAAGGCGACUACCUGGCCCAUUCUUGACGCUGAGGCGCGAAAGCUAGGGGAGCGAACGGGAUUAGAUACCCCGGUAGUCCUGGCCCUAAACGAUGAAUGCUUGGUGUGGCGGGUAUCGAUCCCUGCCGUGCCGAAGCUAACGCAUUAAGCAUUCCGCCUGGGGAGUACGGUCGCAAGGCUG